CAGCUCUCUGUCCCUCGGUUAUUCGGCUCAAGUCUCAGUUCUGACAAGUGCCCAGAAACAUGAGGACCCUGAUUUCUCUCAGUGUGUUGCUGGCUGUCUUCUCCCGUGUCCAGGCAGAUUUGGUUCUGAAACAGCCGCCGUAUCUAACCGGGAAAACCGGCCAGGCCCUGAGACUGACCUGUGAAUCCAGCGGGUUUAUUCUCAACAUAACACACAUGUCCUGGUACCGGCAGCUUCCCGGGAAGCAGCAGGAAAAUCUGCUCCAGUAUGAAGGCUCAUCCAUCAAGUCAUUCGGGUCCGGGUUUGAAAACCGUGUCACUGUCAUCAGAGAAGAUUCCCAAAGCAUCUUCGAUCUGAUCAUCAAAUGCCCGACAGUGCACGACACCUCCACCUAUUACUGUGAAAUUAAGACACAGUGA
Non-coding RNA from Callorhinchus milii (elephant shark), 419 nucleotides. The record is from the annotation of a RefSeq genome assembly. NCBI's taxonomy places the organism in Eukaryota, Metazoa, Chordata, Chondrichthyes, Chimaeriformes, Callorhinchidae.